RNAcentral lists this ribosomal RNA (253 nucleotides) under uncultured bacterium. RNAcentral's name for it is "partial 16S ribosomal RNA". It matches the Rfam family "Bacterial small subunit ribosomal RNA", at positions 524 to 776 of the family's 1533-position model. The record is from RNAcentral.
UACGAAGGGUGCAAGCGUUGCUCGGAAUUAUUGGGCGUAAAGGGUAGGUAGGUGGUGACAUUUGUCUGGGGUGAAAUCCCUGAGCUUAACUCAGGAAGUGCCUUGGAAACGGUGUCACUAGAGUGCUGGAGAGGUUCGCAGAAUUCUUGGUGUAGCGGUGAAAUGCGUAGAGAUCAAGAGGAAUACCAGAGGCGAAGGCGGCGAACUGGACAGUUCCUGACACUGAACUACGAAAGCGUGGGGAGCAAACAGG